Molecule: long non-coding RNA, 942 nt
Organism: Carcharodon carcharias (great white shark)
Lineage: Eukaryota; Metazoa; Chordata; Chondrichthyes; Lamniformes; Lamnidae
Exons: 3
Source: RefSeq, a predicted model, not a curated record
CGAAAUGUCAACUCUUUUCUUCUCCGCCGAUGCUGCCAGACCUGCUAAGUUUUUCCAGCCAGAGUUUCUGCUCCUGAUCACUCCAAUGACCUGCCUUUCUGCAGCAUGACAAUAGAGGAACAGAAGUUGGCCAGAAUGCUUUUCGAGGCUGAUGGAUACAGUCAAGGAUAGGGCUUUCAGAUUGAAACCAAUGCCCAUUCUCCCAUUCACACCAAGUCUAAAAGAAGCUGAAGAAAUGGACCUUUAACUCCUUCCAGUCCGCAGAUGGGGUCUCUGGCCUCGAUGGGAACUUCACUCUACACCUGCAAAGUCGCACUCUCUCCAGCAGGGGGUGCAGCAGGAGGACGUGGCCAUGCCAAAGCAAGAGCCCGCACUGCACUGAACUGCGAUUGCAAAGGUGCUGAAAAUACUGCACGCUCACCUAGAGAUACAAGAGAGGUUGGAAUGUCCCAGGAAUGACCUGCACACCUUAUCGUCCAUCACAGAGAUCCAGGCUAUUGAUCGAACAAGGAUGGAAGACAAAGCAACAACAAUGACUUGCAUUUAUAUAGCAGCUUUCAAGUAACACAACAUCCAAAGGCAUUUCAGAAAAGAGUAAUUAUCGAGCAAGAUUCGACUUUGAGCCACUGGAGAUGUCAUGACUGUGAUAAAAAGCUUGGUCAAAACGGCAGGUUUUAAGGAGAGUCUUAGAGAUGGAGAGAGAGAGGUGGAGAGGUUUAGGGAGGGAGUUCCAGGGCUUAGGGCCCCAGGCAGCUGAAGGCACAGCUGCCAGUUGUGGAGCGAUGGGAAUCAAGGGAUGCUCAAAUGGCCGAAAUUGGAAGAGAGCAGAAAUCUCGGAACGUUGUCAGAGCUGGAAAUGGUUAGAUAGAUAGGGAGCAUUGUAGAGGGUGGAGGAGGUUACACAGAUAGGGAGAGUUGUAAGGGCUGGAGGAGGUUACAGAG